This 253-nucleotide ribosomal RNA is filed under the name uncultured bacterium. Its description in RNAcentral is "partial 16S ribosomal RNA". It matches the Rfam family "Bacterial small subunit ribosomal RNA", at positions 524 to 776 of the family's 1533-position model. The record is from RNAcentral.
UACGGAGGAUCCAAGCGUUAUCCGGAUUUAUUGGGUUUAAAGGGUGCGUAGGUGGCUUGUUAAGUCAGGGGUGAAAGACGGUAGCUUAACUAUCGCAGUGCCCUUGAUACUGAUGAGCUUGAAUGAACUAGAGGUAGGCGGAAUGUGACAAGUAGCGGUGAAAUGCAUAGAUAUGUCACAGAACACCAAUUGCGAAGGCAGCUUACUAUGGUUUGAUUGACACUGAGGCACGAAAGCGUGGGGAUCAAACAGG